AUUGAACGCUGGCGGCAGGCCUAACACAUGCAAGUCGAACGAGUGGCGGACGGGUGAGUAAUGUCUGGGAAACUGCCCGAUGGAGGGGGAAAACUACUGGAAACGGUAGCUAAUACCGCAUACCAUCGGAUGUGCCCAGCUGGGAUUAGCUAGAUGGGGGGGUAACGGCUCACCUAGGCGACGAUCCCUAGCUGUUCUGAGAGGAUGACCAGCCAACAUGGAACUGAGAAACGGCCAGGACUCCAACGGGAGGCAGCAGUGGGGAAUAUUGCACAAGGGGCGCAAGCCUGAUGCAGCCAUGCCGCGUGUAUGAAGAAGGCCUUCGGGUUGUAAAGUACUUUCAUCGGGGAGGCGUUACUCGCAGAAGAAGCAUCGGCUAACUCCGUGCCAGCAGCCGCGGUAAUUC
This 406-nucleotide ribosomal RNA is filed under the name uncultured bacterium. RNAcentral describes it as "partial 16S ribosomal RNA". It matches the Rfam family "Bacterial small subunit ribosomal RNA", at positions 30 to 526 of the family's 1533-position model. The record is from RNAcentral.